CCUACGGGAGGCUGCAGUAGGGAAUAUUGCUCAAUGGGGUUAACCCUGAAGCAGCAACGUCGCGUGGAGGAUGAAGGUUCUAUGAUUUUUAACUCUCUUUUUUAGAGAAGAUAAUGACGGUAUCUCACGAAUAAGCAACGGCUAACUCCGUGCCAGCAGCCGCGGUAAUACGGAGGGUGCACGCGUUACUCGGAAUCACUGGGCGUAAAGAGUGCGCAGGCGGGCUUGUAAGUCAGAUGUGAAAUCCUGUAGCUUAACUACAGAACUGCAUUUGAAACUAUGAGUCUAGAGUGUGGGAGAGGUAGGUGGAAUUCGUGGUGUAGGGGUAAAAUCCGUAGAUAUCACGAAGAAUACUCAUUGCGAAGGCGACAUACUGGAACAUUACUGACGCUCAUGCACGAAAGCGUGGGGAGCAAACAGGAUUAGAUACCCGGGUAGUC
This 440-nucleotide ribosomal RNA is filed under the name uncultured bacterium. RNAcentral describes it as "partial 16S ribosomal RNA". It matches the Rfam family "Bacterial small subunit ribosomal RNA", at positions 338 to 795 of the family's 1533-position model. The record is from RNAcentral.